UACGGAGGGGGCUAGCGUUGUUCGGAAUUAUUGGGCGUAAAGAGCUCGUAGGCGGUCUGUUGCGUCGGCUGUGAAAACCCGGGGCUCAACUCCGGGCCUGCAGCCGAUACGGGCAGACUAGAGUUCGGCAGGGGAGACUGGAAUUCCUGGUGUAGCGGUGAAAUGCGCAGAUAUCAGGAGGAACACCGGUGGCGAAGGCGGGUCUCUGGGCCGAUACUGACGCUGAGGAGCGAAAGCGUGGGGAGCGAACAGG
This 253-nucleotide ribosomal RNA is filed under the name uncultured bacterium. RNAcentral describes it as "partial 16S ribosomal RNA". It matches the Rfam family "Bacterial small subunit ribosomal RNA", at positions 524 to 776 of the family's 1533-position model. The record is from RNAcentral.